This 518-nucleotide ribosomal RNA is filed under the name Coleosporium asterum. RNAcentral describes it as "partial 28S ribosomal RNA". It matches the Rfam family "Eukaryotic large subunit ribosomal RNA", at positions 94 to 605 of the family's 3401-position model. Lineage: Eukaryota; Fungi; Basidiomycota; Pucciniomycetes; Pucciniales; Coleosporiaceae. The record is from RNAcentral.
UGAAGAGGGGAAAAGCCCAAAUUUGUAAUCUGGCUCUUUUAUAAGGGUCCGAGUUGUAAUUUUGAGAACUGUUUUCUGUGUUGGACCAUAUACAAGUCUGUUGGAAAACAGCAUCAUUGAGGGUGAUAAUCCCGUACAUGAUAUGGACUACCAAUGCAAUAUGAUACAGUCUCUAAGAGUCGAGUUGUUUGGGAAUGCAGCUCAAAGUGGGUGGUAAAUUCCAUCUAAGGCUAAAUAUAGGUGAGAGACCGAUAGCAAACAAGUACCGUGAGGGAAAGAUGAAAAGAACUUUGGAAAGAGAGUUAACAGUACGUGAAAUUGUUAAAAGGGAAACAUUUGAAGUUAGACUUGUUAUUGUUGGUUCAGCUUCUUUUUUUAAAUUAGGAGUCUAUUCCAAUGGUUGACAGACCAGCAUCAAUUUUUGAGUGUUAGAUAAGGGUCUUGGAGAAUGUGGCAACUUUGGUUGUGUUAUAGCUCUUGGCUUGAUAUAAUGCUUAGGAUUGAGGAACGCAGUGAGC